UACGUAGGGUGCAAGCGUUAAUCGGAAUUACUGGGCGUAAAGCGUGCGCAGGCGGCUUUGCAAGACAGAUGUGAAAUCCCCGGGCUCAACCUGGGAACUGCAUUUGUGACUGCAAAGCUAGAGUACGGCAGAGGGGGAUGGAAUUCCGCGUGUAGCCGUGAAAUGCGUAGAUAUGCGGAGGAACACCGAUGGCGAAGGCAAUCCCCUGGGCCUGUACUGACGCUCAUGCACGAAAGCGUGGGGAGCAAACAGG
This 253-nucleotide ribosomal RNA is filed under the name uncultured bacterium. Its description in RNAcentral is "partial 16S ribosomal RNA". It matches the Rfam family "Bacterial small subunit ribosomal RNA", at positions 524 to 776 of the family's 1533-position model. The record is from RNAcentral.